AGCGUACACGGUGGAUGCCCUGGCAGUCAGAGGCGAUGAAGGACGUGCUAAUCUGCGAUAAGCGUCGGUAAGGUGAUAUGAACCGUUAUAACCGGCGAUUUCCGAAUGGGGAAACCCAGUGUGAUUCGUCACACUAUCAUUAACUGAAUCCAUAGGUUAAUGAGGCGAACCGGGGGAACUGAAACAUCUAAGUACCCCGAGGAAAAGAAAUCAACCGAGAUUCCCCCAGUAGCGGCGAGCGAACGGGGAGCAGCCCAGAGCCUGAAUCAGUGUGUGUGUUAGUGGAAGCGUCUGGAAAGGCGUGCGAUACAGGGUGACAGCCCCGUACACAAAAAUGCACAUACUGUGAGCUCGAUGAGUAGGGCGGGACACGUGGUAUCCUGUCUGAAUAUGGGGGGACCAUCCUCCAAGGCUAAAUACUCCUGACUGACCGAUAGUGAACCAGUACCGUGAGGGAAAGGCGAAAAGAACCCCGGCGAGGGGAGUGAAAAAGAACCUGAAACCGUGUACGUACAAGCAGUGGGAGCACGCUUAGGCGUGUGACUGCGUACCUUUUGUAUAAUGGGUCAGCGACUUAUAUUCUGUAGCAAGGUUAACCGAAUAGGGGAGCCGAAGGGAAACCGAGUCUUAACUGGGCGUUAAGUUGCAGGGUAUAGACCCGAAACCCGGUGAUCUAGCCAUGGGCAGGUUGAAGGUUGGGUAACACUAACUGGAGGACCGAACCGACUAAUGUUGAAAAAUUAGCGGAUGACUUGUGGCUGGGGGUGAAAGGCCAAUCAAACCGGGAGAUAGCUGGUUCUCCCCGAAAGCUAUUUAGGUAGCGCCUCGUGAAUUCAUCUCCGGGGGUAGAGCACUGUUUCGGCAAGGGGGUCAUCCCGACUUACCAACCCGAUGCAAACUGCGAAUACCGGAGAAUGUUAUCACGGGAGACACACGGCGGGUGCUAACGUCCGUCGUGAAGAGGGAAACAACCCAGACCGCCAGCUAAGGUCCCAAAGUCAUGGUUAAGUGGGAAACGAUGUGGGAAGGCCCAGACAGCCAGGAUGUUGGCUUAGAAGCAGCCAUCAUUUAAAGAAAGCGUAAUAGCUCACUGGUCGAGUCGGCCUGCGCGGAAGAUGUAACGGGGCUAAACCAUGCACCGAAGCUGCGGCAGCGACGCUUAUGCGUUGUUGGGUAGGGGAGCGUUCUGUAAGCCUGCGAAGGUGUGCUGUGAGGCAUGCUGGAGGUAUCAGAAGUGCGAAUGCUGACAUAAGUAACGAUAAAGCGGGUGAAAAGCCCGCUCGCCGGAAGACCAAGGGUUCCUGUCCAACGUUAAUCGGGGCAGGGUGAGUCGACCCCUAAGGCGAGGCCGAAAGGCGUAGUCGAUGGGAAACAGGUUAAUAUUCCUGUACUUGGUGUUACUGCGAAGGGGGGACGGAGAAGGCUAUGUUGGCCGGGCGACGGUUGUCCCGGUUUAAGCGUGUAGGCUGGUUUUCCAGGCAAAUCCGGAAAACUAAGGCUGAGGCGUGAUGACGAGGCACUACGGUGCUGAAGCAACAAAUGCCCUGCUUCCAGGAAAAGCCUCUAAGCAUCAGGUAACAUCAAAUCGUACCCCAAACCGACACAGGUGGUCAGGUAGAGAAUACCAAGGCGCUUGAGAGAACUCGGGUGAAGGAACUAGGCAAAAUGGUGCCGUAACUUCGGGAGAAGGCACGCUGAUAUGUAGGUGAAGUCCCUCGCGGAUGGAGCUGAAAUCAGUCGAAGAUACCAGCUGGCUGCAACUGUUUAUUAAAAACACAGCACUGUGCAAACACGAAAGUGGACGUAUACGGUGUGACGCCUGCCCGGUGCCGGAAGGUUAAUUGAUGGGGUUAGCGCAAGCGAAGCUCUUGAUCGAAGCCCCGGUAAACGGCGGCCGUAACUAUAACGGUCCUAAGGUAGCGAAAUUCCUUGUCGGGUAAGUUCCGACCUGCACGAAUGGCGUAAUGAUGGCCAGGCUGUCUCCACCCGAGACUCAGUGAAAUUGAACUCGCUGUGAAGAUGCAGUGUACCCGCGGCAAGACGGAAAGACCCCGUGAACCUUUACUAUAGCUUGACACUGAACAUUGAGCCUUGAUGUGUAGGAUAGGUGGGAGGCUUGGAAGUGUGGACGCCAGUCUGCAUGGAGCCGACCUUGAAAUACCACCCUUUAAUGUUUGAUGUUCUAACGUUGACCCGUGAUCCGGGUUGCGGACAGUGUCUGGUGGGUAGUUUGACUGGGGCGGUCUCCUCCUAAAGAGUAACGGAGGAGCACGAAGGUUGGCUAAUCCUGGUCGGACAUCAGGAGGUUAGUGCAAUGGCAUAAGCCAGCUUGACUGCGAGCGUGACGGCGCGAGCAGGUGCGAAAGCAGGUCAUAGUGAUCCGGUGGUUCUGAAUGGAAGGGCCAUCGCUCAACGGAUAAAAGGUACUCCGGGGAUAACAGGCUGAUACCGCCCAAGAGUUCAUAUCGACGGCGGUGUUUGGCACCUCGAUGUCGGCUCAUCACAUCCUGGGGCUGAAGUAGGUCCCAAGGGUAUGGCUGUUCGCCAUUUAAAGUGGUACGCGAGCUGGGUUUAGAACGUCGUGAGACAGUUCGGUCCCUAUCUGCCGUGGGCGCUGGAGAACUGAGGGGGGCUGCUCCUAGUACGAGAGGACCGGAGUGGACGCAUCACUGGUGUUCGGGUUGUCAUGCCAAUGGCACUGCCCGGUAGCUAAAUGCGGAAGAGAUAAGUGCUGAAAGCAUCUAAGCACGAAACUUGCCCCGAGAUGAGUUCUCCCUGACUCCUUGA
RNAcentral lists this ribosomal RNA (2787 nucleotides) under human gut metagenome. RNAcentral describes it as "bacterial LSU rRNA". It matches the Rfam family "Bacterial large subunit ribosomal RNA". The record is from RNAcentral.